AAGUAUUUCUCUAAUUGAUUUAUAAAAACACCUAUUUGAAGGAAAUCUGCAACACUGGAAUAAGGGUAGUUCAUCUCAACCAGUUCUCAUCCAUCGGCUGCACCAUUGAUCUAUUGAAACCUACUGAAAUGGCUGCACAUUCUUUUUUCUUCAAUAGUACUUAGACAUUACAGCUAAGUGUUUUCUCAGGAUACCAAGAUACAGGUAC
RNAcentral lists this long non-coding RNA (208 nucleotides) under Anas platyrhynchos platyrhynchos (common mallard). Its description in RNAcentral is "lncRNA (ENSAPLG00000023563.1)". The record is from RNAcentral. Lineage: Eukaryota; Metazoa; Chordata; Aves; Anseriformes; Anatidae.